This 773-nucleotide long non-coding RNA is filed under the name Taeniopygia guttata (zebra finch). Its description in RNAcentral is "lncRNA (ENSTGUG00000026109.1)". Lineage: Eukaryota; Metazoa; Chordata; Aves; Passeriformes; Estrildidae. The record is from RNAcentral.
CAGAUGCCUACAAGGAGUUUAACGAUACGUUCCAGAAGCAGAUGUCGAUGCUUUAUGGGCAUAUCGAGGGCUACAAAGGUGUGAUAAUCAAAGAGCUGCGCUCAGGCAGCAUCGUGGUGGACUAUGACGUCAUCCUGGAGCUCCCCGCCAGCUCCAAGGUCAACGAGACGGUGAAGAGCAUCUCCGAGAACCUCGUCACUGCCAUCCAAAACCACGGCUGUGACGAGAACUGCACAGGGGACGACUGUGUCUGCUUCAACAGCAACUUCACCGUUGUCCACAAAGUUGAGGUGCAAGAGGUGGAAGAACGUAAGUUUGGGUGUUUGGGUGUCUCCAACGGGGUGUUUGGGUGUCUCCAACCCCUCUGGAGAACCCCAAAACCUGAGGUCUGCGUCUCCACCCUCAGGUGUGUGCGACACCUACAUCCAGGAGGAGUUCAGAGUCUUCUACACGCCGUACCUGACCAAGGUCGGCGUCAUCUGCAUCACCCGCUGCGACUCGCGCCACGCCGACCCGCUGCCCUGCGUCCAUGGCAGAUGUUCCGUCAGCCGGGAGGGGCCGCAGUGCGAGUGCUCGGACCAGGUCGCCUUCUGGUACCAGGACAACGCCUGCAGCUCCCGCAUCAGCAAGGUUGGGGUGUCCGUGGGCGUUCCGGUGGCCGUCCUGGUCCUGGUCAGCACCAUCUUCACCAUCCUCCUGCUGAGAUCUCGGAGGCAGAAGGAUCAGUACAGGAAGAAGCUGAAGUCCCGCUCGGAGAUGUACACCAGCGAUGA